GAACCGUACAAACGUUUAUUCGGAAUCACUGGGCUUAAAGGGUACGUAGGCGGCGAGGAAAGUUGGAUGUGAAAUCCCUCGGCUCAACCGAGGAACUGCGUCCAAAACUUACUUUGCUUGAGGGAGACAGAGGUGAGCGGAACUCAGGGUGGAGCGGUGAAAUGCGUUGAUAUCCUGGGGAACACCGGUGGCGAAGGCGGCUCACUGGGUCUCUUCUGACGCUGAGGUACGAAAGCUAGGGUAGCGAACGGGAUUAGAUACCCCGGGUAGUCCUAGCUGUAAACGAUGAGCACUGGGCAGGAGAUCCCUUCCCACAGAUUUCCUGCCGUAGCGAAAGUGUUAAGUGCUCCGCCUGGGGAGUAUGGUCGCAAGGCUG
RNAcentral lists this ribosomal RNA (376 nucleotides) under uncultured organism. Its description in RNAcentral is "partial 16S ribosomal RNA". It matches the Rfam family "Bacterial small subunit ribosomal RNA", at positions 527 to 896 of the family's 1533-position model. The record is from RNAcentral.